Long non-coding RNA from Nematostella vectensis (starlet sea anemone), 773 nucleotides. RefSeq lists it as uncharacterized. The transcript is spliced from 3 exons. Lineage: Eukaryota; Metazoa; Cnidaria; Anthozoa; Actiniaria; Edwardsiidae. The record is from RefSeq and is a predicted model, not a curated record.
AAAAGUUAAAAAAGGCUUUGGGACGAGUUUAUCUGAAUAUUCAACUUGACGAGGUUUAUCCGGACUGCUGUGACACUUGCAGCCAGCAGUUAAUGAGAGAAGUGAGUGUGGGAGGUCAUUGAUGUAUAGAAGAAAAAGCAAAGGUCCAAGUGUUGACCCUUGUGGGACUCCGCAGGUAAUUGGUUGAAGGUCCGAUUCAGUGUUUCCUAAUUUGACAAACUGUUUUCUUUCAUUUAGGUAGCUUGAAAACCAUUUUUGUGGGGUAUCCCUAAUUCCAUAUUUGUACAUUUUAUCAAGUAAAAUGUUAUGGUUUAGGGUAUCAAAUGCCUUCGAGAAAUCAAGGAGAAUACCACAGGUCAGCAUGUUUUGAUCUAGUGCUGUUUUAAGGUUUUCGAUAGUUUCUAAGAUUGCAUGCUCUGUAAAGUGGCCUUUCCUGAAUCCAAACUGAUAUUGAAAUAAGAUAUUAUGCUUUUCAAGAUAGAAGAUUAAUUGAUCAUAUACAAGUUUUUCAAGGAUUUUUUUAAAGGAGAAAAGAAUAGCUAUUGGCCUGUAGUUUCCUGGUUGAGAGGGGUCACUUUUAAAUAUUGGGGUUACUCGUGAGAUUUUGAAGGUAUUACAAAAUAAAAGAAAGCAUCAAUAGAAAAAGGAGGUCCAAGAACGAAACAAGCAAUAAAGCAGCAGCUAACAAAACUGAAAACAUUCGAAGUUUUCGGGUACAGAGAAUACUUGAGUGCUUUGAGAAACAGGCCCCUGGUUAAGCAGUUAUAAUCACA